RNAcentral lists this long non-coding RNA (1806 nucleotides) under Strigops habroptila (Kakapo). RNAcentral describes it as "lncRNA (ENSSHBG00005016573.1)". Lineage: Eukaryota; Metazoa; Chordata; Aves; Psittaciformes; Psittacidae. The record is from RNAcentral.
UUUUUUUUGCCCCCAAAAUGUUGCUGCUUCUCUGCCAUUGUCAGAAAGACGAUGAAUUGGGAAAGUAAAACUAAGGGUGCUCAAGAACACUGGGACAAGCUAAAGAAUAAACCCCUACCUUUCCUAUUUGUUUAAUUAUAUCACAGAGGCACUUCAUUCCAUUUUCCAAGUUUAUUUUACCUUCACAAAAGGUCACAAUGAGAAAUCUUGCUGAAAACAUUAAAAAAAACCCCAAGAAGAGCCAAUACAGAGCCAAGAAUAUAUAUGGCCAGCAUAGAGGCAGUAAGAAGUGUCUUCCCUGGCCAGUGUUUAGACUUCUGAGUAUAUUAAAUCCCACAGCAAACUGCUUACAAGGCAGAGAGAGUCUCACACUUUAAAGAAGUUAUCCUAUUAAUCCAAUCCAAUGCUUUCACCUUUCCUUGGCUGAAUCUCCAGUUCACCUCAAUUAAGAAUCUGCACAUUUCCUGAAGCAACAGAGGAAAACUCACUCCUUUUAAGCACAUUUCACAGAGAUACCUAUGGGAAAAAUUAUCAGUAACACAAGAAUGAACAUUGAGAGGAUCAAAGAAGGCAAAAAUACAUUGAAAGUACUAAUUAUGUCUCACACUAUCUCUGCUCCCACUCUACAUGAAGGGGAAGUGAAGGUAUAGAGAUGCCAGAUGCAGAAAACACAGUCACAGAGAAGCUGGAAGAUUAAAGCUAGAACUACAGAGGAAUACGUUCUAGUGAACAAGGACAACCCUUUGCACUUCAUUUUCCCUUACAGUUAUUUCACCCACUUGCAAGAUUCUAUGAUGCACAAAAGAAAAAAAGCAAAGACAGGAUAACUCCUCUUGAAGAAAUAUUCAGCAAUAAAGCCAUGUCCAUGAAUCAUACAAUUAAUCCUCCAGCUCUAUUCAAGCUUGCCAAGACUUCCUCCAGAGAAGGCUUCAAGAAAGACCAAGCAGAAAGAGCUCAGAGAGAGACUAAGAGGUCUAGAAACCACAAGCAGGUGGUUUCCUACUGUAAAGUAGGAUGAGAGUCUAAAGAAACCAAGAAGAGAUGAUUAUAAAUGCUUAAAAAGGUGCUGAAGAGUCAAUUCUUCACCAUAAUGGCUAAUACACAUUUUAACUAACAGAACCUCUCUCCUUCUGUGACUUGAAAUCAGUUACUGGACUGGAUUGCCUGGAGAGGUCAUGGAGCCACCUCAGUUAAAGUCCACCAGGUAGAUCAUUAUCCAGUCUCACUAAGCCUGGCUUGGAGCACAGAAGCUGGUGACUAGCUUACCCAGGUCCCACUGUCCCACUUCUUAGGAUUGUCUCUUCAAGUGCUUUUGCAUCACACAGCUGUGGAGGCAAUAACUCCUGCUCCACAGCUGCUGUAAUUUCACAGAGCCCUACUGAAACCAGCAUAUUAGACUUGGAAUAAUCCCCUCUAAGUAUUUAGUAAGGUGAUUAACAGAAAUGUCAUUAUUCUGUCAGGAUUUCAUUUUGAAGCCCUGUACUAUUUCUGUUAUCUGUAAGACACUGUGAGGAAGCUGAUGCAAUGGCUGUACUGUGAGAGAUUUAUAACCUUUCAUGUGAACGGCAACUCAAACCUCACUUUUGCCUGGAGCUGAUUUGGUCAUAAGGGUUGACUCCAAGCAGCUUUCACCAGAAAGCCAAACCAAGGCAGCAUCCAGAGCUUUGAAUCUAUUAUUGCAGCCACAAAACACAUGUGGCUGCAGUAAUAGUGAGUUUUAACUAGUUAAGUUUUAACCAGUUGAAGCCACAGGCUAGAUUCUUAUUUGAAAUCAGUAUCAAUUCACUGCAAGCAAGCAAGCCCAGC